GAUGAAGAACGUAGCGAAAUGCGAUAAGUAAUGUGAAUUGCAGAAUUCAGUGAAUCAUCGAAUCUUUGAACGCACAUUGCGCCCCUUGGUAUUCCAUGGGGCAUGCCUGUUCGAGCGUCAUUUGUACCUUCAAGCUCUGCUUGGUGUUGGGUGUUUGUCUCGCCUCUGCGUGUAGACUCGCCUCAAAACAAUUGGCAGCCGGCGUAUUGAUUUCGGAGCGCAGUACAUCUCGCGCUUUGCACUCAUAACGGCGACGUCCAAAAGUACAUUUUUACACUCUUGACCUCGGAUCAGGUAGGGAUACCCGCUGAACUUAAGCAUAUCAAUAAGCGGAGGA
This 337-nucleotide unclassified non-coding RNA is filed under the name soil metagenome. RNAcentral describes it as "partial contains 5.8S ribosomal RNA, internal transcribed spacer 2, and large subunit ribosomal RNA". The stretch from base 1 to 120 matches the Rfam family "5.8S ribosomal RNA", at positions 35 to 154 of the family's 154-position model. The record is from RNAcentral.